CGAGUAGGACUACCCGCUGAACUUAAGCAUAUCAAUAAGCGGAGGAAAAGAAACUAACAAGGAUUCCCCUAGUAACGGCGAGUGAAGAAGGAAGAGCUCAAAUUUUGAAUCUGGCGUCUUUGGCGUCCGAAUUGUAAUCUAGAGAAUGUUUUCCGUGACGGAACGUGCACAAGUCG
RNAcentral lists this ribosomal RNA (176 nucleotides) under uncultured sebacinaceous ectomycorrhiza ERF2. RNAcentral's name for it is "partial 26S ribosomal RNA". It matches the Rfam family "Eukaryotic large subunit ribosomal RNA", at positions 14 to 188 of the family's 3401-position model. Lineage: Eukaryota; Fungi; Basidiomycota; Agaricomycetes; Sebacinales; Sebacinaceae. The record is from RNAcentral.